UACGUAGGGGGCAAGCGUUAUCCGGAUUUAUUGGGUUUAAAGGGAGCGUAGGUGGAUUGUUAAGUCAGUUGUGAAAGUUUGCGGCUCAACCGUAAAAUUGCAGUUGAAACUGGCAGUCUUGAGUACAGUAGAGGUGGGCGGAAUUCGUGGUGUAGCGGUGAAAUGCUUAGAUAUCACGAAGAACUCCGAUUGCGAAGGCAGCAUGCCGGCUCCACACUGACGCUGAGGCACGAAAGCGUGGGUAUCGAACAGG
This 253-nucleotide ribosomal RNA is filed under the name uncultured Bacteroides sp. Its description in RNAcentral is "partial 16S ribosomal RNA". It matches the Rfam family "Bacterial small subunit ribosomal RNA", at positions 524 to 776 of the family's 1533-position model. Lineage: Bacteria; Pseudomonadati; Bacteroidota; Bacteroidia; Bacteroidales; Bacteroidaceae. The record is from RNAcentral.